RNAcentral lists this ribosomal RNA (253 nucleotides) under uncultured bacterium. RNAcentral describes it as "partial 16S ribosomal RNA". It matches the Rfam family "Bacterial small subunit ribosomal RNA", at positions 524 to 776 of the family's 1533-position model. The record is from RNAcentral.
UACAGAGGUCUCGAGCGUUGUUCGGAUUCAUUGGGCGUAAAGGGUGCGUAGGUGGCGCUGUAAGUCGGGUGUGAAAUCCUGAGGCUUAACCUCGGAACUGCAUUCGAUACUGCGGCGCUUGAGGACUGGAGAGGAGACUGGAAUUCAUGGUGUAGCAGUGAAAUGCGUAGAGAUCGGCAGGAACACCCAGGGGGAAACCAGUCGACUGGGCAGCACCUGACGCUGAGGUGCGAGAGCGUGGGGAGCGAACCGG